Molecule: small nuclear RNA, 107 nt
Organism: Vicugna pacos (alpaca)
Lineage: Eukaryota; Metazoa; Chordata; Mammalia; Artiodactyla; Camelidae
Source: Ensembl
GUACUCACUUCAACAGCACAUACACUAAAAUUGGAACAACACAGAGAAGAUCAGCAUGUUCCCUGCACAAGGAUGACAUGCAAAUUCGUGAAGCGUUCCACAUUUUU